Myotis myotis is the source of this 4125-nucleotide RNA transcript. It is a transcript of the gene named fucosyltransferase 11, with no coding region annotated. The record is from RefSeq and is a predicted model, not a curated record. NCBI's taxonomy places the organism in Eukaryota, Metazoa, Chordata, Mammalia, Chiroptera, Vespertilionidae. The transcript is spliced from 4 exons.
CGUAGAGCCCAGUUCCCGGUACGACUCGGCGCGGGGCGGGGUCCGGUGCUGUCCUAGGGGGCUGGCUGCCAGAGUGGACAUGGCGGCCGGCCGCACCCGGGUGGUGCUUGCCGCCCUGGCUGUGCUUACUGUCUGUGCGGCCAGCGGCCCGGGGCCCGGGACAGAAAGGGAGCCCGGUGGGGAGGCGGAGUGGGCGGAGCCGUGGGAUGGAGCGGUUUUCCGGACGCCGUCGGCGCUGGGCGCAGUGGGGGUGGCGCGCAGUCCGGAGACCCGGUGGCCGGGGAGAAAGGACGCAGGGGACCUGCCGGUGCUGCUGUGGUGGAGUCCAGGGCUGUUCCCCCACUUCCCGGGCGACUCGGAGCGCAUCGAGUGCGCGCGCGGCGCGUGCGUGGCGUCCCGGGACCGCCGGGUGCGGGGGCUCUCGCGCACGCGCGCGCUGCUCUUCUACGGCACCGACUUCCGCGCGUCGGAGGCGCCGCUGCCCCGUCUGGCGCACCAGAGUUGGGCGCUGCUGCACGAGGAGUCGCCCCUCAACAACUUCCUGCUGAGCCACGGUCCGGGCAUCCGCCUCUUUAAUCUGACCGCCACCUUCAGCCGCCACUCGGACUACCCGCUGCCGCUGCAGUGGCUGCCCGGGGCCGCCUACCUGCGCCGCGCGGCGCCUCCCCUCCGGGAGCGUGCGGAGUGGCGCCGCCGCGGCUACGCGCCGCUGCUGUAUCUGCAGUCGCACUGUGACGUGCCUGCGGACCGGGACCGCUACGUGCGCGAGCUCAUGCGCUACAUCCCGGUGGACUCGUACGGGAAAUGCCUGCAGAAUCGGGAGCUGCCCACCCCGCGGUUACAGGACACAGCCACGGCCACCACCGAGGACCCAGAGCUCCUGGCCUUCUUGUCCCGCUAUAAGUUCCAUCUGGCUCUCGAGAAUGCUAUCUGUGACGACUACAUGACAGAAAAGCUGUGGCGCCCCAUGCACCUCGGUGCGGUGCCUGUGUAUCGCGGCUCCCCCUCGGUGAGGGACUGGAUGCCCAACAAUCACUCCAUCGUCCUCAUCGAUGACUUUGAGUCACCGCAGAAGCUGGCAGAGUUUAUUGACUUCCUGGACAAGAACGAUGAAGAAUAUAUGAAAUACCUGGCAUACAAACAACCCGGGGGCAUCACCAACCAGUUCCUCCUGGAUAGUCUGAAGCAUCGGGAGUGGGGAGUGAAUGACCCUUUAUUGCCCAACUAUCUCAAUGGCUUCGAGUGUUUCGUUUGUGAUCAUGAGCUGGCGAGGCUGGAGGCGGAGAAAGCCCACGAAGCCGCCCCCGGAGACACCCCUGUCCCUGAGCCUCACAUUGCCCAGCCCUCACACAUGGACUGCCCAGUGCCAACACCUGGCUUUGGCAGUGUGGACGAGAUUCCUGAGAGUGACAGCUGGAAGGAGAUGUGGCUGCAAGACUAUUGGCAAGGUCUGGACCAGGGGGAAGCUCUCACUGCCAUGAUCCACAACAAUGAGACACAAGAGAGGAAAUUUUGGGAUUACCUACAUGAGAUCUUCCUGAAAAGGAACCAAAAUCUCUAAUUACCCUGCGAGAGCUUUGAACUUGGUAGGUCUAAGGAGAUGGAAGUCAUUCUACCACAGGACAUGCUGCACAAACCCUUAAUGAACACUGUCUUAUCCUGAACUUAAGGGAUUCUAGUUGUAUCUACUGAUAUUUUAUCCUAAUGAUGUAUAGCCAGGGUCUCAGACUGUGGUAAUAGGGCUUCUCCUCAAGGAGAGAUGAAGGCAUCCAGUUCUUAGUUUAGUGGAAAAGAGAAGCCUGAAACACCCAUUUGAUUCAAGGUGCAGAUCCAACAGAAUUUUUAAAGAACUGCUUAUUUCUCUAGCCUUUUCAUCCUCUCAUUUAUGACUGGAAGAACACCUUAGUACUUGGCUACAAAUGAGAAAUCAGUGGAAAAAUAUCCUUGCGAGAGGAUUAACCAAACAAAAUAACAACAAAAAAGCUGUGAGUCCAGUUGGGGGUAUAGCCAAACCUUUCUAUUGCUAUGAUCUGAAUAGAUAGCUUAAUGGGCAGAGAGGUCGUUAGCUUUUUCUGGAGCAGAGAAACAGGGAAGAAUAUCUUGGCCCUUAGAGCUACCCUGGUUGUAAAGUUGUAUUAAUGAAUUAUCACCAGAGAAGUUCCAUAGCUUAUCAAUAUAUCAGGUGGUAAAUUAUUAUGAAUGUAUGUAUAAAUUUUUUUACUAUCAGAGUUAAUAAUACAAAUAUAUGUAGAUGCCUCAACAACGAAGGUCCUACACUUAAUAUUGUAACAUCUAAGGAUGUGGCUAAGGAAUGCUAUUAUUUAGGCUGGAUUUCACUGUCAGAGUGCUUCUUUUUUCAUUCUAUUCUUUAAUAAAAAAAAUACCAUCCGUAAUAGCUUGGAAAGUUUGCUUAACCUUUUUGCUCUUUUGCAGAAAAGAAAAAGAGGUAAAGCUAGAUCUUCAAGUAUACUUAUGUUAGCCUGGCUGGGUAGCUCAGUUGGUUAGAGCAUCGUCCCAAUACACCAAGGUGUGGGUUCAAUCCCCGGUCAGGGCACAUAUAAGAACCAAUCAGUGAAUGCAUAAAUAAAUGGAACAACAAAUCAAUGUUUCUCUCUUUCCUUCCUCUCUCUCCCUCUCCCUUUCUCUCCAAAAUCAAUAAAUUGUAAAGAAAUUUUUAAAGAUACUUAUGUUAAAAUUUGAUACAGUAGGGAUCCACAACUGAAGUCAAAUUCAGGACUGAUUUCUAAGCUUGCAAUUUGUUCAAAUACAAAUGUUGACUUAUAGGGGCAGGUUGGAGGGGGUAAUAAAAAACAAAAUAAAAACUACUCUAAUGAGACCAAAAAAAAGUGAAAUAACAAAUUUCUCUCUCAUCAAUACAUACGUUUAAAAAAAGUUUAAUCUUCGAGAAUUAUCCAGUAUAUUUUAUUAUAUAUGGCCAAUAAAAAAGUAUCUUUUGAUGACCAGCAUAACUGAUGACAUUAAAGAAAUUACAGUAUAUAUUAUUGUUUUUCCACAAUGGGCCACUAUUCAGAAAAGUGAUCUAGGGUUUUUCCCUAGACAACUGUAUAAGAAACCUAUAACCUACUUAGUACAUACUUAUUGUUCAUAUCCAAGCUCCAUAGAAUUGGCUUCACCCAAUUAGAUGUCUCUUUAAAAAUAAAUCAUUGGCUUUCAUGCUUAUGUGAAUUCUCUGUGCACACAUAUUGAAAUUUUGAUUUUCCUGCUGUUAAAUAAUCAUUGUUAUUUUCCUAAUCUCUCCCCAUAGUUUAGAAAUUGAGUGCUAUAAAAUGACUAUGUAACCAUAUCUUUCUGCAGCCCGUAAUUGAAUCAAUGGCUUUUUGCUAGGCACAUGGUCAGACAAUACUGAGAGCCUGUUCAAUAAAGGCAAUGCACCCUGUAGUGUGGCUCCAAGGACCACAUCAGAUCACUAGGUAGAAAUUAACUGCCUUUCUUGUCUGGUACUUCAUUAAAAUUCAAAAAUAAUUGUUCCAACUAGUUGGCACUUAUUGUACAUGAAAAACAAAACAAAAUACUAGUACCCAAGUACAAACUAAAAUUAGGACUUAAAUUUCAUUAUGGGCAGUAAAAAGAGUAAGUGAUCGUAGUUACAUGAGAUGUAGAAUCAUCCUUACCUUUCCUGUCUGUUCACAACAGUUCACAUUGGCACUCCUAUAGCACUUUUAUGUACAAAGUGGGCUAGUUGUUUAUGAAUUAUUGUGGCUGGAGACUCAUGCCUGCUUUGUGGUCAGUACUUACAGACUUUUUUCCUUUAUUCCUAUUGCCAUAAAAAAUAUUCACAAAAGAGCAGAGUAAACCAGGUGCUACAUUUCCAUAAGGGAAAGCAGAACCAGGAAUAGCCACAUGGCACUUAUCAACUAAAGGCUUCACUUUCCCUAUGGAGAAAGCAAGCAAUGUGAAUUUUCUCUGGUUUGGGGCACAGCCUGCUCUAUAUACAGCAGCAGGCUUGGGGUUAUUAGCGGUAGACGUUUCUAAUAGGAAUCAGUUUUAUUUAUGCUGCUGGAGGGGAUGAAGCAUGGGGCUGAUACUUUUAUUACUACAAGUAUUGCUAUUUUCUGUUACCUCAGGUUUCCUUUUGUAUAAUAAAUGGCUUAUUUUUAAACAGUG